RNAcentral lists this transfer RNA (65 nucleotides) under Ciconiphilus decimfasciatus. RNAcentral's name for it is "tRNA-Arg". The record is from RNAcentral. Lineage: Eukaryota; Metazoa; Arthropoda; Insecta; Psocodea; Menoponidae.
AACUAUUUGAAAAUUAGUAAAAAACUAGUUUCGACCUAGAUUAAGUAGAAAUCCUACACUAAUUA